UCAGUCCAGAAUUGGCUCUGGUAACUAUUGGUGGAGGAAAGGAACUUGAAGAAAAACUUGUGGUUCGACCAACUAGUGAAACCAUAGUGAAUCACAUGUUUACUCAGUGGAUUCAUAGCUACCGAGAUCUUCCUCUCAUGGUCAACCAGUGGGCAAAUGUCACAAGAUGGGAGAUGCGCACAAAACCAUUUGUGAGGACUCUUGAAUUUCUGUGGCAAGAGGGUCAUACAGCUCAUGCGACUCUAGAGGAGGCAGAAAAAGAGGCAUUACUGAUGAUUGACGUCUAUACAAAAUUUGCUUAUGCGCAAGCUGCAAUACCUGUUAUUGCAGGUCGAAAAUCAAAGGUGGAAACCUUUGCUGGUGCUGUUAGGACAUAUACAAUAGAGGCUAUGAUGGGCGAUCAGAAGGCUUUACAGGCUGGAACCAGUCACAACCUUGGUCAAAAUUUCUCUCGGGCUUUUGGAACACAGUUCACUGAUGAAAAUGGACAAAGGCAGCAUGUCUGGCAGACAUCAUGGGCCAUCAGUACCCGCUUUGUUGGUGGUAUUAUCAUGACACAUGGAGAUGAUACUGGCCUAAUGCUUCCCCCUAAAAUUGCUCCAAUACAGGUAGUGAUUGUACCGAUUUGGAAGAAAGAAAAUGAGAAAGCUGGAGUUCUCAAUGCAGC
Molecule: unclassified non-coding RNA, 667 nt
Filed under: Hevea brasiliensis (rubber tree)
Lineage: Eukaryota; Viridiplantae; Streptophyta; Magnoliopsida; Malpighiales; Euphorbiaceae
Source: RNAcentral